UGUGGUCAAAUCAUAUUGAAACACCAGUUCUUGUACGAUCACUGAAGUUAAGCAACAUCAAGCCUAGUCAGUAACUAGAUGGGUAAUUGCUUGGGAAUACCAGGUGAUGUAAG
Non-coding RNA from Acanthosepion pharaonis, 113 nucleotides. The record is from the annotation of a GenBank genome assembly. NCBI's taxonomy places the organism in Eukaryota, Metazoa, Mollusca, Cephalopoda, Sepiida, Sepiidae.